This 45-nucleotide non-coding RNA is filed under the name Schistosoma margrebowiei. Lineage: Eukaryota; Metazoa; Platyhelminthes; Trematoda; Strigeidida; Schistosomatidae. The record is from RNAcentral.
AUUUAGCUGACGAGUCCCAAAUGGAACGAAACGUGCGUCCUGAAU